UACGUAGGGGGCAAGCGUUGUCCGGAUUUAUUGGGCGUAAAGAGCGUGUAGGCGGCCAGACAGGUCCGUUGUGAAAACUCGAGGCUCAACCUCGAGACGCCGAUGGAAACUGUCUGGCUAGAGUCCGGAAGAGGAGAGUGGAAUUCCCGGUGUAGCGGUGAAAUGCGCAGAUAUCGGGAAGAACACCCGUGGCUAAGGCGGCUCUCUGGUACGGUACUGACGCUGAGACGCGAAAGCGUGGGGAGCGAACAGG
This 253-nucleotide ribosomal RNA is filed under the name uncultured bacterium. RNAcentral's name for it is "partial 16S ribosomal RNA". It matches the Rfam family "Bacterial small subunit ribosomal RNA", at positions 524 to 776 of the family's 1533-position model. The record is from RNAcentral.